This 370-nucleotide ribosomal RNA is filed under the name uncultured organism. RNAcentral's name for it is "bacterial SSU rRNA". It matches the Rfam family "Bacterial small subunit ribosomal RNA", at positions 526 to 896 of the family's 1533-position model. The record is from RNAcentral.
CGUAGGGUGCAAGCGUUAAUCGGAAUUACUGGGCGUAAAGCGUGCGCAGGCGGUUAUGUAAGACAGGUGUGAAAUCCCCGGGCUUAACCUGGGAACUGCAUUUGUGACUGCAUAGCUAGAGUACGGUAGAGGGGGAUGGAAUUCCGCGUGUAGCAGUGAAAUGCGUAGAUAUGCGGAGGAACACCGAUGGCGAAGGCAAUCCCCUGGACCUGUACUGACGCUCAUGCACGAAAGCGUGGGGAGCAAACAGGAUUAGAUACCCUGGUAGUCCACGCCCUAAACGAUGUCAACUGGUUGUUGGUCCUUCACUGGAUCAGUAACGAAGCUAACGCGUGAAGUUGACCGCCUGGGGAGUACGGCCGCAAGGUUG